Molecule: small nuclear RNA, 107 nt
Organism: Ailuropoda melanoleuca (giant panda)
Lineage: Eukaryota; Metazoa; Chordata; Mammalia; Carnivora; Ursidae
Source: Ensembl
GUUCUCCCUUCGGCAGCACAUAUACUAAAUUUAGAACCACACGGAGAGGAUUGGCAUGGUCCCUGGGUACAGAUGACAUGCAAAUUAAUGGUAACUCUCCCGUGAGG